Molecule: ribosomal RNA, 855 nt
Filed under: Streptomyces xinghaiensis
Lineage: Bacteria; Bacillati; Actinomycetota; Actinomycetes; Kitasatosporales; Streptomycetaceae
Description: Bacterial large subunit ribosomal RNA
Rfam family: Bacterial large subunit ribosomal RNA
Source: Rfam by way of RNAcentral
UAGUAGCGCGCUCAAGACCCGAAGCGGAGUGAUCUAGCCAUGGGCAGGUUGAAGCGCGGGUAAGACCGUGUGGAGGACCGAACCCACCAGGGUUGAAAACCUGGGGGAUGACCUGUGGUUAGGGGUGAAAGGCCAAUCAAACUCCGUGAUAGCUGGUUCUCCCCGAAAUGCAUUUAGGUGCAGCGUCGUGUGUUUCUUGCCGGAGGUAGAGCACUGGAUAGGCGAUGGGCCCUACCGGGUUACUGACCUUAGCCAAACUCCGAAUGCCGGUAAGUGAGAGCGCGGCAGUGAGACUGUGGGGGAUAAGCUCCAUGGUCGAGAGGGAAACAGCCCAGAGCAUCGACUAAGGCCCCUAAGCGUACGCUAAGUGGGAAAGGAUGUGGAGUCGCAGAGACAACCAGGAGGUUGGCUUAGAAGCAGCCAUCCUUGAAAGAGUGCGUAAUAGCUCACUGGUCAAGUGAUUCCGCGCCGACAAUGUAGCGGGGCUCAAGCGUACCGCCGAAGUCGUGUCAUUCCAGCAUGAGGUCCAACGACCGUUGGGAUGGGUAGGGGAGCGUCGUGUGCCGGGUGAAGCCGCGCCGGAAGGCAGUGGUGGACGGUUCACGAGUGAGAAUGCAGGCAUGAGUAGCGAUACACACGUGGGAAACGUGUGCGCCGAUUGACUAAGGGUUCCUGGGUCAAGCUGAUCUGCCCAGGGUAAGUCGGGACCUAAGGCGAGGCCGACAGGCGUAGUCGAUGGACAACCGGUUGAUAUUCCGGUACCCGCUUUGAAGCGCCAGCGCUGAACCUUCUGAUGCUAAGUCCGUGAAGCCGCCGGCUGAGUCUUCGGACGAGGUCGGAGUGGUGGAGCCGACG